UACGUAGGUGGCGAACGUUAUCCGGAAUUACUGGGCGUAAAGGGUCCGUAGGCGGGGCUGUCAGUCUGCUGUGAAAGCUUCCGGCUCAACUGGAAGAAGCCAGCGGAUACUACAGUUCUGGAAUCCGGCAGAGGUCGGCAGAAUUCCCGGUGUAGUGGUGGAAUGCGUAGAGAUCGGGAGGAAUACCGAAGGCGAAGGCCGCCGGCUGGGUCGAGAUUGACGCUGAGGGACGAAAGCGUGGGGAGCAAACAGG
RNAcentral lists this ribosomal RNA (253 nucleotides) under uncultured bacterium. RNAcentral's name for it is "partial 16S ribosomal RNA". It matches the Rfam family "Bacterial small subunit ribosomal RNA", at positions 524 to 776 of the family's 1533-position model. The record is from RNAcentral.